This 206-nucleotide long non-coding RNA is filed under the name Mytilus galloprovincialis (Mediterranean mussel). The record is from RNAcentral. Lineage: Eukaryota; Metazoa; Mollusca; Bivalvia; Mytilida; Mytilidae.
UUUCUUUUAACACAUAAUACUUUUCAAAAAAAGGAAAUUUUGUAUGAUGGCCAAUAAGACAACCCUCUAUCCUAAAAUCAAAUAUUGAUGAUGUUAGCAAUUAUAGGUACAUGUACAGCCUUCAACAUGACAUCUUGGUACGUGCUUCAAAUUCUGAAUGUUUAGUGUUUCAGUGGCCUAGAAUACAGAUUUCACUAUGAUGGCGG